RNAcentral lists this long non-coding RNA (315 nucleotides) under Homo sapiens (human). RNAcentral's name for it is "LHRI_LNC1174.1". Lineage: Eukaryota; Metazoa; Chordata; Mammalia; Primates; Hominidae. The record is from RNAcentral.
GCUGUUUUGCUUUCUUAUCAUUUGUGUGUUCAGUGAAGUAGCCCUUUUAAUUUCCUGGAGAACUUUUCCUUUGCAUUCACAACUUGGCUAACUAGCACAAGAGGCCUAGCUCUUGGUCUGUCACAGCUUGCCACAUGCAUUCCUCACCCAGUUUAAUCAUUUCUAGCUUUAAAUUUAAAAUGAGAGAUGUGGUUCUAUCUUUCACCUAAACACUUACAGGCCAUUGUAGGGUUGGCCUAAUUUCAAUAUUGCUGUGUCUCAAGGAAGAAGCAGGCCCAAGAAGAGGGAGAGAGACAGAGGAAAGGCUGGUCUGUG